This 675-nucleotide ribosomal RNA is filed under the name uncultured bacterium. Its description in RNAcentral is "bacterial SSU rRNA". It matches the Rfam family "Bacterial small subunit ribosomal RNA", at positions 74 to 746 of the family's 1533-position model. The record is from RNAcentral.
GGGUAGCAAUACCUGGUGACGAGUGGCGCACGGGUGCGUAACGCGUAUGUAAUCUACCUCUAACUGGGGAAUAGCCUUCCGAAAGGAAGGUUAAUACCGCAUAAUAUAAAGGAGAGACAUCUCCCCUUUAUCAAAACUCAGGUGGUUAGAGAUGAACAUGCGUGACAUUAGCUAGUUGGUAAGGUAACGGCUUACCAAGGCUACGAUGUCUAGGGGGUCUGAGAGGAUGAUCCCCCACACUGGUACUGAGACACGGACCAGACUCCUACGGGAGGCAGCAGUAAGGAAUAUUGGACAAUGGGGGCAACCCUGAUCCAGCCAUGCCGCGUGAAGGAUUAAGGCCCUAUGGGUCGUAAACUUCUUUUAUAAGGGAAAAAACCCCUUUACGUGUAGAGGGUUGAUGGUACUUUAUGAAUAAGGGUCGGCUAACUUCGUGCCAGCAGCCGCGGUAAUACGAAGGACCCGAGCGUUAUCCGGAUUUACUGGGUUUAAAGGGUGCGUAGGUGGACCUGUAAGUCAGUGGUGAAAGCCCGAAGCUCAACUUCGGAACUGCCAUUGAUACUGCAAGUCUUGAGUACAGUUGAGGUAGGCGGAAUAUGUCAUGUAGUGGUGAAAUACUUAGAUAUGACAUAGAACACCGAUUGCGAAGGCAGCUUGCUAAGCUGUAACUGACAC